AUGAUCCAUAAGGUCCCUUCCAGCUCUGCAGUUCUUAGACUAUGAUGAUAUCUUCACAAGAACUCAUGGAGUAGCUGGAGAUAUAGAUAAGGCCUCUCAUGAACUUCAUGACUGUGUAGGUGGAAAAUAAGUCUUCCAAAUGCAUUCUUUCCAGGAGGGGUUUUUAAUAAAGAAGAGGCACCGAAAGGUUUAACGUUUCACUGGAAGAAAUUAUGCCAACGUGUCCAGUUGUAUGAAAGAUGGAUAUUAUCUCUUGUGACUGUUACUGAUCACACAGACGCAAAACCAAAACAAAUGCAAACACCAACAUGCACGGAAAGGAAGCCCUGCAAGCAUCAGGCCUCAAAAUGUCACCGAACUAGUACAAUAACUCUGUUUAUAUCAUCAGUUGUAACUCUUCUGCAACUUUUAAAAAAAUAAUAUCAGUAGCUAAUGUGAUCAGAGAGUAAUCUUGUUCACCUCAAUCAAUAAAACACAGAGUCUUGUAUCA
This 490-nucleotide long non-coding RNA is filed under the name Pogona vitticeps (central bearded dragon). RNAcentral's name for it is "lncRNA (ENSPVIG00000020451.1)". Lineage: Eukaryota; Metazoa; Chordata; Lepidosauria; Squamata; Agamidae. The record is from RNAcentral.